This 974-nucleotide long non-coding RNA is filed under the name Populus tremula. RNAcentral's name for it is "long non-coding RNA (PTRE_LNC002006)". The stretch from base 662 to 875 matches the Rfam family "Plant small nucleolar RNA U3". Lineage: Eukaryota; Viridiplantae; Streptophyta; Magnoliopsida; Malpighiales; Salicaceae. The record is from RNAcentral.
CAUUUUACACACAGAAAAACACAGAUUCAUCUACGAAGCUAUAAGGCACCAGUAAAGUACUCUGCAAUCUGCAUCGUGGAACAAGCAAUUAAAGGAAAUCAUGAUAAACGAAGUGGAAGAGGAGAGAGGCCAUAUUUUCAUCUUCUGGAACGAAGAAAUUCCUCAGAAUCCUAAAACAGCAAAUAACCUCCAUAAAUAAAAUGGAUUUUUAAUGGAGGAGACGUUUUCAUUAGCCAGUUAAACCCAGGCUGGCCACUAAUGCGCGCACAGCACAAGACCACAUACAUUAAUUAACGGCUGCCAUCUCAGAUCUGCAAGUUGAAGAACACCAAGCAACAUCGUAUUGUGAGCAACAGAGAACAUGAGAUGGAUGAUUCAUAGAGAAAUUUGUUAAAAACUACAGAAAACAGAAAAAAACGCUCAGCGAUUAGAUCCGUGGUAAUGAAUGGAUGGGCAUCAAUUUGACUGAAACAAUACAUUUAAACUGUACACAAUUUAAAUGCAGAUUACUCUCUGCUUCCUCUCUCGAAGCAAAAAGAGGACACAGCGUUUUUCUUAGGACAAAAAUACCCUUUAAAAAAAUAGGACCAGAUUUGUACCACAUCGGACAAGAACGAAGAGCUAAAGAGCUUCAUAAAUAGUUCGAGGAGCACAUGACCGCACGACCUUACUUGAACAGGAUCUGUUCUAUAGGAUCGUACCUCUGUAUCCUUAAUCACUAAGGAGACAGGAACCUAAGCCUGGUUGAAGAACCAUGACCGUGUGAUCAUAGCGUGAGUAAUGGCUUGAUGGUCCUCGUGAUCAUCAUGGCUGUAGAGGAUCGUUUCCCAGCCAUUUACGUGGCUGGGAAUGGUCAUGCGGUUGUCUGACAGGCUUCUCUCUUUUUGAAACUACUAAGCGCAUGCAGUUUCGUUACAAAGUAAUGUAUUUAAAAUUCAUGAAGCGAACACCAGUCACCAGGAGCUAACCAAAAC